Molecule: long non-coding RNA, 2702 nt
Organism: Leopardus geoffroyi (Geoffroy's cat)
Lineage: Eukaryota; Metazoa; Chordata; Mammalia; Carnivora; Felidae
Exons: 2
Source: RefSeq, a predicted model, not a curated record
CCAUUUCUUCCUCUUGAAUAUUCUAUUUUCUUUUUUUCCUUUUCAAAUUCCUGCUGUUUUUUGGUUGCGUCUUCAUGAAUGUUGAGCAAAGGUAGUUGGUGAGCAAAGGUAGUUGAUGUGGUUUCCUGUGCAAAUGUGUUGGUCUGUAAAGCAGAACCAUCACCCUCUUGACCUGGACGCACAUGGGCGGCUCUGGUAACAGGUGCACUUCCCCUGGGGUGCCAGAGCAGAGAACAGGCUUGCAACCUUCCAUGAUUGGUUCUUUCCUCAGAUGAUCCCAAUUCUUCAGAGGUAAAAAACAUAUCCAGCAAAAUAAUUAUUUAGUUGUCUCGUAAGGCAAAUCCGUACAUUAACUGAAUUUUAUCUGCUUUCAUUCUGGGGAGAAGAAGGCAGCAGAGCACAUGAUAAGGGACCGAAUUGUAAUGAAGGACUAGGCGGAGAGUUGAUAGAGCGGCAUAAACGUUUGCAGAGACAAAGCACCAUUACAUUUCUCCAUUCGUGAUUGCCCGUGGCUCAUCUGGUGUUUUGUUGCUCAAGAAGCUGACAGCCUGAUGGGCCUUCCCGCGUGCCCCUCCACGCAUUCCUGGGGCAUCACUCACUAGAUGCUGUUUGCUGGAUCCUUGUGGUGGGUCUCUUCCUACCUGGUCCCCAUGUCUGGGGUCUCCUUGCAGUGGCUGACUCUCCUGGGAUCUCUGUGGGAUCUCAGCCAUCAUCACAGUGGUUAAACCUCCGUCUCUAGCCCAUGUCUCUCUCUGAAGUCCCACCUGGGGGUCCCCUUCUCCCACUCACAGCCCCCAGGCUGAGGUCAGCAUUUUUCCUGCUCUCUUGUUCCCAAGUGCCUAUUUUGCUUUGUGGUGUCCCAUCUAUCCAGUGAUCCGAGUCUGGCAGCAGGAGACAUCACACGCAGGGCCCUUUAUUUCACCUCUGACAUCUUAGUAAUUACGUGAUCUUGUCUUUCGUAGCGUGAGCUGCUUUAACAAUCACCACGGACUGGGGGGCUUAAACAACAUAGAUUUAUUUCUCACAGUUUUGGGGGCUGGAAGUCUGAGAUCGGGGUACGGCCUGAGCCGCUGGGGGUCCUCUCCGUAGUUUGCAGAUGCAUGCCUCUAGCAGAGAGGUCACCUCUGGUGUCUUUCUUAGAAGGGCACUAAUGCCACUGAGGGGGCUCCACGCUUAUGACCUACUCACCUCCCAGAGGCCCUUCUCCUGAUAUUGUCACACUGGGGACUGGGCUUCAAUGCGUGGAUUUGGGGGGACACUCACUUUCAGUCCGUGGACUAUCUUGUAUCUUUCACGCACCUGUUGUGUGUCCCCUUCUCAGUCUUCUCGUGCUUUAGCUCAAGUCUUCCUUGUCCUGGUCUGCGUGGCCUCUAGAUGUUUUCUCCCUGUGCUUGUGUGUGUUUUUCUCUGACGACACCGCACACAUCCAGAGUGUGGCUCUUGUGCUGCAAGGUCUUGUGUGCGGGACCAUACCUGUCUGUCUGUCUGUCUGUCUUCUCCUCUAAGCCCUUAGGGCCUCCGUCCCCAAUCUCUUAUGCACCCACCACAACAGCAACAACAACAACAACGACAACCAGUGGCAAUUAAGCUCCCCACGGGUAGGGCUUUUUAUACUUUUCCUGUUUUAUUCGCAGCUGGUCUCCAGGACCUAGAACAGUGCAUGACUUACCAUUGGUGUCGAAGAAGUAGGGUAUGGAUCCACUCGUACCUAUUUCGAUCCAUCUGACAAGUGCGUCUUCCCCAGCUCCUGUCCCUGUCUCCUGAUUUUUCCUCUUUCCCUCCCUAUCAGGUGUCACACACGAAUGCAAACCACUCUGAUAGCACCUUCCGGAUAAUAGUGGAGAAGAAUGCGUUGGCCACGCCUGUGGCUGCAUCCCGUGGGCUGGGACGCGUUAAUCAGCUCUGGCAAAGCUACUCCGACUGGAAGUCACAAAGGGGGUUGCUGCUUGGUUGUCCUGUCCUGUAGAGUAUGUCGGGAUUGUUUCCAGGCCAGAUUGGUGAAUGAAAUAGAUGUGUGUUGGGUUCAUACCCUGCACCCCCCUCAGUCUUCAGCCUCUGGUGUUCCUUCCAGAUGAUGAGACUCAGGGACCGCCGUUCAACUCCGUUAUCCUCGUAAUUACCGCUUUCCAAAGCUCUCCAGCAUCUGAGAUGUUGUACUUACAGUGCGUUCCUUCCCUUCCACGCUGUCUGUCCCAGUGUGCCAGUGGUCAAAGUUUUAACACUGCGCCGUGACAUCCUGCCAAGGGCUUUCAGUGCCCCACCUGCCACCCGUGUGGUAGAUGGAUGCCGUGCACUCCAGGGCUGAGCUCUCCCAUCUGAAUUGCUACUUGUAGACAAUCUGAUGGACUGGGCACCUUGGGAGCGUAAGGAAGAUGCCAAGGGUAAUUCUUCAGCCUUUGUUCUGAUGAAGAGCACAGGGUGCGUGUGUAUUCCCACUGCAUCGAUUUGAAAAUACUUGGGUGUGUUUACAGAGGAGGGGAUUUGCCAGUCGCAAUGGUGGUGGGCCUCAUGGGCGCAGGCACGCCUGGCGGGGACCUAGGGACCAGCAGAGCAUUUCCAUCACCCAGAAGAGAGAGGUACCUUAGGCCAAGAGUGAACUUGUUUUAAGUGACAGGAGUGGCUAAAGACUCAGGUAAAUGAAGAGAAAGACAAGAUUUGAAGAAUCUGGUAAAUAAAUAGUUAGCCUUUGUGUGUCCUAGGAA